This is a long non-coding RNA of Syngnathus typhle (broad-nosed pipefish), 10833 nucleotides long. RefSeq lists it as uncharacterized. The record is from RefSeq and is a predicted model, not a curated record. The transcript is spliced from 2 exons. NCBI's taxonomy places the organism in Eukaryota, Metazoa, Chordata, Actinopteri, Syngnathiformes, Syngnathidae.
UUGCCGUUAGCUGGCUAGCCGCGCGCACAAUUGAUCGAGCUGCUGACUUGCGAAGCUUUCUUACGUCACAGAAUGUGAUUCCUGAUACAACAUAUGUGCUGGUUAAUAUGUUAACCAUCGCUGUUGUUUCGAGAUUCUGUUGUUCCUUGUACGCGUGUUGACAUCAUCGCGUUGCUUAUCAACGGCUAUCAUGAAGUGGACAUUUGCCAUCGCACAUAUGUCAUCAUGUGCAUUGUUGUAAUUAUUAGCGGCCGCUGGGACGUCCCGGUGGUUUUGUAGAAAUUCUGCAGUUUUGUGCCGUCAAGAAUCCCAUAUCUGACACCCGACACGUCCACGGAAACUCGCCAAAUUUAGCGCAUUCAUCGACCCUGGGGGAAAAGUAUAUAUGUUAUGAUAAGAAAUGAAAUUAAAAUGGCCUUGUAGAGCCACCUAGAAUGGAAAAAUUAAAAACAUUCCCUGGCCGUUUGGCCUGGAUUUACGAAAGUUGGUAGCCACGUGUAGCACCCUGAGAUGUGCAAAAGAUCAAUUGCACCGGUAGUCUAAAAUGUACAGGAAGUGAGCUGAAAUUUUUUGAAUAUCGAAUUUUGGCCCAUCUUUGCACAUUUACAAAGAUCAUAAUUUUGCAACCUUGUCUUAGAGCAUAUGUCUCAAACUCAAGGCCUGGGGGCCCGAUACGGCCCGCCACAUCAUUUUUUGUGGCUGGUGAGACAAAUUUUGCAUCGACUUUGUAUCAUUACUAAAAUUACAAAUUGUCGUCACUUUUAAACAAGAAAAUAGAUAUUACUUGCUAUUUUUGUUACCAUUUGUUUUUAAAAAAACAUUUUUACUACUCUCUGAUUUCAAAACUAGUUAUUCAUCAGUUUGUUUUGUAGCCAGUCUACAUCCGUGCCGCGCACCCCUCGAUGCUCAUUUCUGCCAUGCCGCCUGCGAAGAAAACGAGGAAAGUUGACAUUGAGGGCCGUCGCUUUCAAGAGAGAUGGGAAUUACAAAACUUCUUCACUGAAAAUCAAGGCAAUUGGGUUUAUCUAAUUUGUAAAGAGAGACGGUUGCCUUGUUUAAGGUUUCAACCGAAAGAGACACUACCAGACUAAACAUGCUAACAUAUACGACAAGCUAACAUGGAGUGACCGCGCUGAUAAAGUGAAGCAGCUCCAAGCUGAACUGGCAUCACAACAGCGAUUUUUCACGCGGGGCUGAGUCAAAGUAAAUAUCACUAAAGCAAGCUACGAAGUGGCCAUGUUAAGACUGUUGAUGUUAUGAACCUGCAGAUGUGACACAAACAAUCACUUUCUGAAAGAUAUUACAAAAUUCACUUGUUUCAAUUUUUAAUAACAGACAACUUUGCAUUACUUAUAACUCCUGUUUAAAAUGUUCAUGAGGCAAAGAUAAUUUUAAAGUCAUGUAAAUUUAAGGUAUUUCGUCCAGUUUGUUCAAUGUUAUCUGACUCUUCAGAUAUGAAUGAAAGGCAGAAUUUGUGUUUUUAGAGUUCACAUCUGCCUUUUAUAACAGUGUGUAUUUGCCUGGAUUUUUUUAUAGUUAAAAAAUGUCCGAAAAGACUAUUGGCCCCCGGGCCCCUUCACUUGAUCAAAUCUGGCCCUCUCUGCAAAAAGUUUGGACACCCCUGCUCUACGUCAAAUUUUGUGAGUUUUUGGCAAAAGGCGUGUCUAUUAAAGUCUAAUGACACGCCGUGACAAUAAAAUCUGCUGUAAUUUGACCCAGGUGAUCCUAUAUUUUCUCAAAUUUGCACAUUUCAUCAUAGUCCACUCCUGAAGACAGCUACAAACGUAUUUUACAUCGUAGUGGUAGCACCACCGACUGGCUUCUUCUUAUCGUGGCUACAAGGCAGUUAGUUACAGGCUUGGCUAGAUGUGGUUCAGCCACACCUGAACACAUUUCUGUCCCUUCUCAUUAAACUCUGCUAAGUCCGGUGCUGUGCAGGGAUGUUCCAGCAGGGGGCAUAUGAGGAGGUGUUGCAUGGUCUGUGGUUCAGUGCCACAGUCUCACUCAGCGUUUCGAUCAUCCAGAUGUCCCCAUUUGGCGAGAGUGACUUUUGCACGUCCAACACCAGAUCUUAGUCUAUUUAGGCAUUUCCACGUUGCAUAGUUUGUGUCUGCUCCUGGGGGCAGUGCCUCACUUGCCUUAAGCUCCAUUGUAGUUUCUGGUGGAAGAUUGUCUAGUCUUUCUUCCCACAGAGUGACGCUUUCACUGCCUAUGCUCGGUGUUCCGAGGGGUGGGACACUUUUCAGAAAACUUUUCCUGGACUUAAGGCGGCUUUUGGCUGGUACAUGGCCGAAGAGAGGAUGUCUUUGGUCAGUGGACUGUUGCUGCUCUUCCUUGCUUGCUGCUUGUCUACGUAUCUCUGGUGGGGCUAUUCCUGCCAGGAUGUACAGGCGCUCUGUAGUCGUUGGUUUUAGACAGCCAGUGAUAAGACGGCAGGUAGCAUUUAGGGCGGGGUCCAGCUUCUUGACAUGGGCAGCUCGCUCCCAUACCAGGCAAGCAUACUCCGCAGCUGAGUAGCAGAGAGCAAGUGCAGUUGUCUUGAGAGUCUGUGGAUUAGCACCCCAUGUUGUGCCAGUGAGCUUGCGGACAAUGUUGUUCCUCACAGCUACUUUGCACUUAGUCUUCUCAAUGUGGGUCUUAAAGAAGAGGCAUCUAUCCAGGAUUACCCCAAGGUAGACUGGGUGCUCACAGUGAUCAACGGGGGUUCCUGACCAGCUGACCUUCAGUUGGCGCUUAGCUUCACGAUUUCGCAGAUGGAAGGCACACACCUCUGUCUUAGAUGGGUUUGCACGUAGGUGGUUUUCUUCAUAGUAGGGUGUUAGCUCUGUCAGAGCAUUGGAGAGUCUGUCUUCCACGAUUUUGAAAUCAGUGGCUUGUGCACCUAUCCCAAGAUCGUCUGCAUAGAUGAAGCGACGUGUGUCUGCACUUUUUGGUUGGUCGUUGGUGUAGAUGUUGAAGAGAAGUGGUGCAAGCACACUUCCCUGUGGGAGGCCAUUCUUGAGUCUUCGCCACCUGCUUUUCUUUCCUCCAAGUUCAACAAAAAAGCGGCUGUUUUCAAGCAUGCUUUCAAUCAGCUCUGUCAGACGGAUGUCUCUUGUGGUCUCCAGAAUCUUGCUGAGGAGACGUCUGUGGUUGACUGUAUCAUAGGCAGCUGAGAGGUCGACAAACACCACACCAGUUACCAUCCCUUCCUCAUAACCAUCUUCGAUGUACUGGGUGAGGUUGAGUACUUGGCUAGUUGUUGACUUGCCAGGGCGGAAACCUGCUUGUUCGGGAUGAGGUGUUCGUCAACAAAGGAGCCGAUUCUGUAGAGGAUUAGACGUUCGAAGAGCUUGUAGGUGUGACUCAGAAGUGAGAUUGGUCUAAAGUUCUUGGGUCUUUCCCAGGUUUCAGCAGUGCUAUAAUGUGGGCCUUCUUCCAGAUGUUGGGGAGCUUGUGUGUUGUCAGGCACUCAUUGUAGAGCUGUAUACAAUAUAAUACAAAAAAUACAAGCUACAAGCCACAAAGCUACAGAACAGAAAACAACAUCAUGCCUGGAGAUAGACACAAAGGUCGAUCUUGGAAACGAGGAACCUCCUCACGACCAGCAUUGACGGUCCUAUCUGUUAACAUCGAAGGGUUCUCCUCUGCAAAACGAACAAUCUUAGCCGAUCUAUGCAGCAGACAACACUGUGACGUGCUCUGCUUGCAAGAGACGCACAGAGAGAGUGAAAAUAAUCGCCCCACCAUACCAGGAAUGGUCCUGGCCAUUGAACGACCUCACAGGCAGUACGGCAGUGCCAUAUUUGUAAAAACAGGUUUAGCUAUAGAAGACACAUGUCAGAUGACCAUGAUAUCGAAGUCCUAUCUGUCGAGUUAAGCAGUGCUGUAGUAACAUCUGUCUAUAAACCACCACCUGUAGACUUCAUAUUCCCCCAGCCAAUCCCCAAAGUACACAACAAACCACAGAUCAUUAUUGGUGACUUCAACAGCCACAGUAUCCAGUGGGGCUACCCUGAAAUGAACAAGGAUGGAGAAGCAGUUGAGGAAUGGAUAGAGGCCAACCAACUAAGUCUUAUCCAUGACCCCAAGCUACCACACUCGUUUCUUAGUGCUCGCUGGAAAUGGGGCUAUAAUCCAGAUCUCACCAUGGUCACAAAUAACAUCGCUGGACUGUGUAAAAAGACUGUGCUGGACCCUAUUCCAUCAAGCCAACACGUCCCAUCGGGAUCCAAAUCAACGCGGCUGUAGUCCCAACCAUCGUUCCCUUCAAAAGGCGCUUCAACUACAAGAAAGCAGACUGGGAAGUAUUCACCAACGAGCUGGAAGAGAAGAUCAAGAAUAUAAUACCAGUUAGCACAAACUAUGACCAUUUUGCUAACCUGGUGCUGAAAACUGCUCGGAAACAUAUCCCCCGUGGCUGUAGAGUUGAAUAUAUACUGGCUACGAUAGGUAGGUAGGUAGGUUUUCUGCUUCAUAUUUGCUCAAAAGAGUGAUUUGGCCAUCAUAAUGCGAAAACACAACAUUUGUGAGUUUUCUUUAAAUAUUGUUUCCAUGGAAAUGCUGAGUUCCCCAAGAAGACAACUUAAGUUUGAAAGUUUCAGUAUGGCCGACAACUCAUAAAAGUUUGCAUACACAUCAGGUUUAUUGUGCAAUUAAAAAAAAAAUAGCUCAGUGGCAUCCUCUACAAAAAUUACCAAAAAAAUGACCUUUGUAAGUUUCACCUAUCUCUAUGAACAUGGAUCAAUGUAAAAGUAUUUUGGAGCCAUAUGUUAAAAACUACUUUUGUUAAAAAACUUUUCAUUUAUAGAUAAAGAAAUAAAAUAAUGAAAGAAAAGAGUGACACAACAAAAUGUCAUCAACAAUAGCCCAGUGCCCCCUAGUGACCGGAAGAAACCUCUAAAGUGCAUGCAUGAGCAGCUGUAGUUCCUGCAUUAAGAGCCAAAUCAAUUGCCUUUAACUUAAAAGCGGCAUCAUAUGCAUUUCUUUUGCCCCCCUUAAUGAGGGUUUGUGUAUAAAAGCUUGCUUCGUUCAGUAAUGUCCAUCUUGAUCUCGUUCUGUCUCUGCUUUGUGUCAAUCAUACGGCACUAUUUGCCUGGCGGAUGGACAUGCGAUCAACACACCACUCUUCUCCCCAGUGACCGUGUCACAUAUACCUCCGCCCAGCCAAGCGGCGCCGCACAACAGCGGUCCACAGCCUUUUUACAAGUGUAUACUAAGUGAUCAAGUCAUCACAAAAAUCAUGAAAAAUCCAUAGAUACGCCGCACCGGAUGAUAAGCCGCAGGGUUCGAAACUCGGUUUAUAGUCUGGAAAUUACGGUAAUCUAUGGCCUUCUUAUUCAUACUCUUUAAUAGCACAAUGUAAUGAAGCCGGGUAUUUUUAUUUGCAUAGAGCAGGGGUCGGGAACCUAUAGCUCGCGGACAAAUCUGACAUUUGUUUACACAAUUGAAGUCAUAAAUAAUUUUGUUAUGUUAUCAAAGUAAAAAAUAAAACUACUGAGAUCAAAAUGUUAAAUUAGCUUUCAAAAUAUAAAAUAUGAUCACGUUUGCAAUCCAUCCCAUCUGUUUUCUACCGCUGAAAUCCACGGUUGUCGUAUCAGCCAAUCCCAGCUGCCCUUCGGUGUAGGGCAGGUGUCGGUGACGCCAGGUCGGACAAAAAAAAAGCGUAAUUUUUAUUCGACAAUACGGUGCCUACGGGGUCGUGAGAGGUAAAAUUCCAUCAGCUUUAUUUAAAAUUUCAGCUAGCUAGCUGGUGUGUGCCAGGAAAGCAAGAAAGAUGGCGAAGAAAAAAAAAAGAUGACAAUUACCGAACAUUUCAGAGUGAGUGGACCGAAGAAUUCGCAUUUGUGGAGAGAGGAGGCUCUGCUACGUGCCUCAUAUGCAAUGACAAAAUUGCACCAAUGAAACGCUCCAAUAUCAAGUGCCACUUUGAGACACAACAUGCUACAUUUCCAACCAAAUACCCAGCUGGGGACAGCAGAAAGAAAGCGUGUGAAGAGCUCCAGAGGAAGGUCCAAGCUAGUCCGUGUAUGAACCCAGACAAGGUGACUUUAAUUCAGCUAGUUUUGCUGGCACAUUACCAAUUGUGAGGAACGGAAAGCCAUUCACGGAUGGCGAGUAUUUCAAAACAUUUAUGCUUGAUGUGGCUAAUGAACCUUUUGACGACUUGACGGAUAAAGAAAAGAUACUCAAACGGAUAAAAUACAUGCCUCUGUCAGCAAGAACCGUUCACGAUCGGGCCAUUAUGACUGAAGAGAGCCUCAAUGCCUGCACGAAGCUCAACCUCACCGCAUAUCAACCGGACUACAAACCCAUCAGCAAAGCGAUGCAGCCCCGGAAGUCUCAUUAAUGGUGAGCUUUUUUUUCUUUCUAGGCUUCAAUAUAAAAACGUUAUGAAAAAGAAUACAUUCGUACACUCAAAAAAAUCGUUGGUCUUAAUUAAAAUGCAUUUAAUUGCAUUUAGCCUAUCAUUUUUUUAAUUCAUUAAUGUAAUAAUUAAUACCGUAUUUUUCGGACUAAAAGUCGCUCCGGAGUAUAAGUCGCAUUUUGGGGGAAAUUUAUUCGACAAAAUCCAACACAAAGAAGCAACAACAGGCUAAACGAUAGGUAUGCUAACGUGACAUGAACAGAAACGAAGAGCUGAGAACGGGCCUGACGUAACAUUCAGAGUUAUUCAAAAAAGUAUUACCUAAAUAACAUGUUUAAAAAACCAUCUGUGUCACUCCAAUUCAUUAAAUCCAUCGAUCGUCCUUUAUGUCAAUGGUCCCCUACCACCGGGCCGCGGACCGGUACCGGUCCGUGGGUCACUUGGUACCGGGCCGCCAAGCCGCACAGAAUUUUUUUUUUAAAUCAACGAUCAAUUAAUUCAGGUCAAGACACUCGUCCCGGUCACGUGACAUGUUUCCCCAGUCAAGCCCGCAAAGCUAAUAUGUGGCGACAGGGUAACUAACCAGGCAAUGAAGCAUUCAAAACUGCUUCAACACAUGGAGACCAAGCAUCCUGCAAUAAAAGACAAACCUUAAUAACUUCGGGUGUCAUUGUCUCCGAUUACGUCUAGAUGGGACCGGCUCGUUUCUGAGAAACAAACUCAGUGCUCCCACUAAUUCAACGUAACGCGAGCUGGCUUCCCUGAUAUCAAUGGGCAGUGUGUUCCAUCGUUUGGGGGCGUAAUUAACAAAGGCUGCAUCACCGAUCUUCUUUCUGCUGUUGCCGGGAGCCUCCAAUAAACCAGCAGCAGAUGAUCGCAGGGUUCUUGGAGGUAUGUAGCUAACAAGAGAGUUAGCAAUGUCGCUUGGUCCCUGCCCGUUAAGGGCUUUGUAUAUAAGGAGAAGACUCUAAAAUAUAUUCUAAAUGUUACAGGAAGCUAGUGCAGAGCAGCUAGAACUGAUCUAAUGCGCUCUCUUCUUGGUCCUGGUUAAUCAAAGUCAAAGUCAGCUUUAUUGUCAAUCCCUUCAUAUGUGAAGACACACAAAGAAACCGAAACUCCGUUUCCUCUAUCCCACGGUGACGAGACAUAGUACACGAUAGACAUACAAGUAGACGACACAAAAUAAAAACAAGAAGGCACAAAUAAUAAAUAAAUAUGAGUGAUGAAUAAAUAAUAAACAAAUAACCCAAUAAAUAAGAGGAGCAAAACUGAGCCAGUGUGCAUACAGCAGACAGUAAGCAUAGCGCAAAGUACAGGACGCUACGCAGAAAGGGGGUGCAAGUUCAGGAUCCUAACAGCCUGGAGUAGGAAGCUGUUGGUGAGUCUGGUGGUGCGGGAGCGCAGGCUCCUGUACCUCUUCCCAGAGGGCAGAAGAUUGAAGAGUGAGCGGGGUGACUCACAUCACUCACAAUAGGCGACCUGCAGCAUUUUGGAUGAGCUGAAGUCUAUCAGUGUCUUUUUUUCAGGAGACCAGUAAAGAGUGCACUACAGUAGUCAAGCCGGCUUGAAAUAAAGGCAUGAAUCAGUUUCUCAGCAUCAUUUUGAUUUAUGAACGCUCUUACUUUUGCUAUAUUUCUAAGGUAGAAAAAUUAUGUUUUUCUCAUCUUGUUAAUGUGGGACCUGAAGCUUAGAUCUGAAUCUAAGAUAACACCAAGACUUGUAACCUCGGAUUUAAUCCAGGGAGUUAAUUUCCCCAAAUUAUUAAACAGCAUUUCUCUUUUUGUUUUAGGGCCGAUUAGCAAGAUUUCAGUUUUAUCCUCGUUUAACAGAUGCCUGUUUGAAGAGAUGUGUUUAUAAUGUUCAGGACAUGACUUGAGACUAGGGAUGCACCGAAAUAAAAAUUCUUGGCCGAAACCGAAAACCAAAAAUGAGGAAACCAAGGCCGAAAACCGAAAACCGAAACACCGAAAGAAAUGUCAGUUAUUAGAACCACAGCAUUUAUGGCUACAUGUGUACUAACCUCACUAAAAUCAAGGCAUUGCAAUAAACCAGUUACAAAAGUAUGAAAAUAUUUAUUUAGCACUGACAACAAUGCACAAUAUAAAUGAAAAUUCAAAAAUAAAAUAAAAUGUUUAACUUGACCCAACUCAUGUGUACAUUAAAUAAUAAUUUACAGGCUUAUAACUGACUGUAAAAUUAAAUAUGUUCUCUUAUAAAAACACAGAGAACUUUCUUGCCUUUUCAAAAACGUCCCCCACAGACGGAGUGGGCGUGCUCGGUGUCAGUUUCCUUUUCUGUGUCGCCUUCUUCUCAUAUUCAGAAUGGCGAUCGGGAUGUUUGGAUUUCAGGUGAUGAAUUAAACCCGACAUGGAUAAACUUUUUGCAGAUGCACCCCUUUCAGCAUUGCAUAUUUUGCAAAUCGCUAUCCGUGGGUCUUUCUCUGAGAUAGUGAAAUCAGUCCACACCGCAGACUUAUCCCAUUUUCCCGCGUGCUGGCUGCGCUGUUUGCUCACGUCAUCACAAGUUUCGGCCGUGUUGUUUCGGUGAUUUAGGUCUUUCGGCCAAAAACCGAAAAUGCACUUUUGGGUCAUUUUCGGCCGAAAAUUUUCGGUGGCCGAAUUUUCGGUGCAUCCCUACUUGAGACACUGUUGAAUACCCGCUUAAAGAAUGCUGUUGGUACUAGGUCAAUACAUGAAGUGGAGUAGUAACACUCAGUGACAGUCUUGCAAAGCUCAUUCAAUGUAAUACAGGUGAAUUUUCCCAUUGUUACACAAUUUUUAUAGGAUUUACUGAGAUCAUCUAUGUUUAUACCAGCAACAAUACUGGCUCUGAUUGAAGUUAUUUUACGAGUGAAGAAUAAUGCGAGUUCUUCACAUUUUGAUGCAGAGAACUGUGGGGGUGUGGGGGCAAUGUUGAGUAGUUGAUCAAUAGUGGAGAAUAAUAUUCUAGAGUUUCCAGUGUUCUCUGAAAUAAUCUUAGAAAAGUACAGUUUUUUUCCUUGUAAAAUGCGCAAAAUGUAACUAAUUUAUUGUCCUAAAAUCUGGGGUGCGCAUUAUACAUGGGUACAAAAAUGUUUUUUUUUUUUUUUAAUUUUUUUUUUUUUAAUUUUUUUUUUUUUAAGAAAGUCAUGGUCAUGGUACAACAAAACCAACAACAGGACUGACCGACAAAGACGUGGAACAAAAAGACAGGGUGACAUUACCAAAGACAGGAACAGAAACCAAACAGACAUCAUGACAUCAUCCAACGGUGAGCGAGGGGCAGACAGGACUUACACCGUGUUCCAAAUUAUUAUGCAAAUUGUAUUUAAGUGUCAUAAAGAUUACAUUUUUUGUUUUUCAAUUAAACUCAUGGACGGUAUUGUGUGUCAGGGCUCUUUGGAUCACUGAAAUCAAUCUCAGACACCUGUGAUAAUUAGUCUGCCAGGUGAGCCCAAUUAAGGAAAAACUACUUAAGAAUGGCGUUCCACAUUAUUAAGCAGAUGACCAUUUCCAAGCAACAUGGGAAAGAAAAAGGAUCUCUCUGCUGUCGAAAAGCGUGAAAUAGUUCAAUGCCUUGGACAAGGUAUGAAGACCUUAGAUAUUUCACGAAAACUUAAGCGUGAUCAUCGUACUGUAAAGAGAUUUGUGGCUGAUUCAGAGCACACACGGGUUCGUGCAGAUAAAGGCACAACGAGGAAGGUUUCUGCCAGACAAAAACAUCGGAUUAAGAGAGUAGCAAACAGAUAUUUGAAGCUGCUGGUGCCUCUGGAGUCCCACGGACAUCAAGGUGUAGGAUCCUCCAGAGUCUUGCAGUUAUGCGUAAACCCUCUAUUCGGCCACCCCUAAACAACGCUCACAAGCAGAAACGGCUGCAGUGGGCCCAGGAAUACAUGAAGACUAAUUUUCAAACAGUCUUGUUCACUGAUGAGUGCCGUGCAACCUUGGAUGGUCCAGAUGGAUGGAGUCGUGGAUGGUUGGUGGACGGCCACCAUGUCCCAACAAGGCUGCGACGUCAGCAAGGAGGUGGCGGAGUCAUGUUUUGGGCCGGAAUCAUGGGGAGAGAGCUGGUUGGCCCCUUUAGGGUCCCUGAAGGUGUGAAAAUGACAUCUGUAAAGUAUGUGGAGUUUCUGACUGACCACUUUCUUCCAUGGUACAAAAAGAAGAACCGUGCUUUCCGUAGCAAAAUCAUCUUCAUGCAUGACAAUGCACCAUCUCAUGCUGCAAGGAAUACCUCUGCAUCAUUGGCUGCUAUGGGCAUAAAAGGAGAGAAACUCAUGGUGUGGCCCCCAUCCUCCCCUGACCUCAACCCUAUUGAGAACCUUUGGAGCAUCCUCAAGCAAAAGAUCUGAGGGUGGGAGGCAGUUCACAUCCAAACAGCAGCUCUGGGAGGCUAUUCUGACAUCCUGCAAAGAAAUUCAAGCAGAAACUCUCCAAAAACUCACAAGGUCAAUGGAUGCAAGAAUUGUGAAGCUGCUAUCAAAUAAAGGGUCCUAUGUUAAAAUGUAA